RNAcentral lists this ribosomal RNA (207 nucleotides) under uncultured bacterium. RNAcentral's name for it is "partial 16S ribosomal RNA". It matches the Rfam family "Bacterial small subunit ribosomal RNA", at positions 568 to 774 of the family's 1533-position model. The record is from RNAcentral.
UGCGUAGACGGUUCGACAAGUCAGAUGUGAAAGCCCGGGGCUCAACCCCGGGACUGCAUUUGAAACUGCCGGACUAGAGUGCAGGAGAGGUAAGUGGAAUUCCUAGUGUAGCGGUGAAAUGCGUAGAUAUUAGGAGGAACACCAGUGGCGAAGGCGGCUUACUGGACUGUAACUGACGUUGAGGCACGAAAGCGUGGGGAGCAAACA